CGGGUUUGACAUGCUAUCGUGUUAGUUCGAUAGAGAUAUUGAAUGAUCUUUGUGAAAACAGAGAUGAUAGCAC
RNAcentral lists this ribosomal RNA (73 nucleotides) under uncultured organism. RNAcentral's name for it is "partial 16S ribosomal RNA". The record is from RNAcentral.